GGACCAUCAUGUCGGUCGUGCCUCGGUACGUACUGGUAUUGUUGGUUUCUCCCUUCUGACGAACCAUGAUGUCAUUUAUUUGGUGUUGUGGGGAAUCAGGACUGUUACUUUGAAAAAAUUAGAGUGUUUAAAGCAGGCUCACGCUUGAAUACAUUAGCAUGGAAUAAUGAAAUAGGACGUUUGAUUCUAUUUUGUUGGUUUUAAGGACCAGUGUC
RNAcentral lists this ribosomal RNA (215 nucleotides) under Campeiostachys nutans. RNAcentral describes it as "Elymus nutans partial small subunit ribosomal RNA". The stretch from base 37 to 215 matches the Rfam family "Eukaryotic small subunit ribosomal RNA", at positions 684 to 864 of the family's 1831-position model. Lineage: Eukaryota; Viridiplantae; Streptophyta; Magnoliopsida; Poales; Poaceae. The record is from RNAcentral.